UUUAUGCACUAUGGAAAUUUAUCAUCAUUACCACAACUGCUAAUCCAUACGGUGCCUUUGUAUUUUUCUAAAAUCUCUUAGAACUUAAAAGGCAAAUGCCCCAAAGGGAACAGAUGAUCUGUUAUGAUGUCAGACAACCAUGAGAAUAAAAAUGAGAAAGCAUGUCAUCAACACGAACUUGUGUUCUGGGAGGAGCUGGACUCACUGACACACGACUUGGAGCAGAACUGAGUCCUCCAUGGGCUCCACAGAGCAUGUGACAAUGGAGGUGAGCUCACUGCCUCUUCCCUGGGAAGAUGAAAGUGCUCUGCACAGAGAGGCUCAUGUCUUACCUCUCCUCUCUGCAGGACUUUGAGAUGGAGAUGAGAAAGUUGACGAAGACCAGGGGAGGCACUCUUCCCUAACAGAGCUCCAUGGACCACCUAAGGAACAGAAGAAUUUUAUGGUGAAGAACUUGGGUCCUUUGAGAAGGCAACAGUGUCAGGAGUCCAUGCAGCAUACCAGAGCCUCCAGCCUCAGGAGGCAGAGAAGAACAAGUGGGUUUAUGGAUCUGAAGGGUGGUCUUGGAUGCUCUUCCUGUGGAAGAAGGGCCCCCUUGCCUGGUGCUGCCCCAUCAAGCCCGGGCACUGGGGUCCGCCCUUAGGCCUGCAGACUGUCUUCUACAUGAUGGCUGAUGUCGAGAGGGGAGUGAAGGUGCCUCCCCCAAACACAGGCAUCAGCUCAGACUGCGCCAUAUUUGUGUUUCUGCAGAGAACACGCCUCACCUUUAUGCCACGUCUCUCCGUAUUCGCCACCUCCUCUGAUGUUGGCCACGGCAAGGACACCACCCAUGUGUCUCACGAAGAUGAGCCUGGACACACUGCGAGACGGUAAAAGGGUUAACUGCCACGAAGUGCCCGCGAGGAUCACACUGGCUCCCUCCACCACACACGCACCCCUGAAGACACUCCACAUGUGGUAUCAUCUGAACGGGAGCCCCGUGCUUACGUAUUUCACUUAAAUCAAGUAAUGUAAAACUUCUGACUGAUUAACUGCAAAGCUCAGACAUUUUCACGAGCAUUCAGUAUACCUCACUUUGAACAACUGUCUUGGCAAACAAAACACUGCCAAGCCACCUGACACAGGCCUCGUGUGAACACCCAGUACUCACUCCUGCUACACCAUUUUUUCCAGUAUCUUUCUCCAAAUUAAGUUGGAAAAAAGAAAGCUCUUUCUGAAGUAUGAAUUUUACACAGGUUUCUCAGAGAUUUACAUGUUAAACUAGGCAUGAGAGAGAGAGAAGAGAUCAAAGACACAGACCAGAAAACAAGAAUGGAGUGCCCAGGGCUGGAGGAUGUUUUCUAGAAACAAAUAGAAGAAACUAUAGCACAAAGCUUCUUUACAAAAUUUAGAUUUUGUUUUCCUCCUUCUCUUUCCACUGACCCUAACUGUAUUAGUACUGAGGUUAUUUCUCUGCUUGCUGUAACUGAAAUUAGUUUUGCUUUGAAACUAUUUCUGAAAUUUAUCAUUCUUUCUUUCAGUAACUGGGGAAAUGACAGGCUUCGGCAGCCGGAGGCUCUGGAUGGUCUGGGUGCUAACUUUCUGGAUGCUGAAAAUCACAGGAAGGAGAGCUGAGGCAUCAUUCCCAGGAAUUCGGACCCCACCCUGUGGGGUGGAUGCCCAAAUCUGCAGAUUCAGCACAUCUGCUGGCUCUCCUGAUGCAGGUGGAUCUAGGCUCAAAAAACUAGUCACGCUGUUGACUUGUAUCAUCCCCCUCUAGCCUCCUCAGUUACAUCAACCACAACCAGGUACUUUCCCACAGUCCUUGACAAUUCAAUCUGAGACUCUACUUCUCUUGGCCCAGUUCCCCUGCGAUUUUCUUUAGUGACUAGUGAUUUUCUUUCAGUGACUGGUGCGCCUGUCCUGCCUAGAUGCCUUACAGGCUUGAUCUCUGCUGCCCCCACACCCUAUCCACUUGUUUAUUCAAAUAUCUGCUGCAUGUCCAUUAUGUGCCCAGCACUGUGCUGAGACAUACAGAUGAAUACGACCUGGUUAAUUCCUUCUGUCAUGGACUUAACAUCUCCAGAGUCAAGUCGACAGGUACUGCAAACACCCAUCCCUUGGCCCUGAGAACUUGGAGCGCUUCUGAAAGGAACUCAUUUCCCCCGUGAUUGCAACUUGUUCUUGUUCUACCUUCUCUUCCUUACUCCUGAGAGUAGCUGUUUCCAGUGUUUGCCAUUUUUCUCCAUUCCAAGCACCACCCGUUUGCAUCUGCUGCUAUUUGGAUCUGGCUUUGCCUAUCUUCAUGGGAGUCAUCUGCUGGAAUUCCU
Long non-coding RNA from Bubalus bubalis (water buffalo), 2309 nucleotides. RefSeq lists it as uncharacterized. The transcript is spliced from 6 exons. NCBI's taxonomy places the organism in Eukaryota, Metazoa, Chordata, Mammalia, Artiodactyla, Bovidae. The record is from RefSeq and is a predicted model, not a curated record.